UUGCAGAGCCCUUUUGACGGCCGAUGCUGAUUGAACUCCUUCGAUCGAUGUCUGUCGAUUCUUCAGAUGCUUCAGAUCAUUGACAGACGUGCUUGAGAGGAUGUUAAAGAUCUCUCUAAGAUUUUGUGGGCUCACGAUACUCGUAGCUCACUUUCUCACUUCUCGAACCUCAGGCUAAAAUUCUAGGGAACUCACCGAAAAUCUUGCACCCACUUUUCUUUCUUUUCUUUCUUUUUCUCUUGGAAGGAUAUGGACUUCCUUCUCACGCACAAGACUUCUCACGUCCCAGAAUUUUUCUUCAAAAAUCUUCUUCUUGCACGCCCCACUCUUCUCCUCCUUUUAUAACAAUGUCAAACGUCUUAUCCAAAAGAAAGGAUAAAGAUGAGUAAUUGCAUAUUUGAAUUCAAAUGGACACCAACUCAUCCCUUUCCACUAAAUGCGUGAGGUGUGGCUUAAAUUAUGCAUGGAGUGAUUUCAUGAGAAACCUUUUCUCAUGUAAUAAAUGGGGCGUAAAAAAAGAGAUAAGGUG
Molecule: long non-coding RNA, 529 nt
Filed under: Elaeis guineensis (African oil palm)
Lineage: Eukaryota; Viridiplantae; Streptophyta; Magnoliopsida; Arecales; Arecaceae
Description: long non-coding RNA (EGUI_LNC052307)
Source: RNAcentral